UAGUCCACACAGUAAACGAUGAAUACUCGCUGUUUGCGAUAUACAGUAAGCGGCCAAGCGAAAGCGUUAAGUAUUCCACCUGGGGAGUACGCCGGCAACGGUGAAACUCAAAGGAAUUGACGGGGGCCCGCACAAGCGGAGGAACAUGUGGUUUAAUUCGAUGAUACGCGAGGAACCUUACCCGGGCUUAAAUUAUACCUGAAUAAUUUGGAAACAGAUUAGCCGCAAGGCAGGUAUGA
RNAcentral lists this ribosomal RNA (239 nucleotides) under uncultured bacterium. RNAcentral describes it as "partial 16S ribosomal RNA". It matches the Rfam family "Bacterial small subunit ribosomal RNA", at positions 791 to 1035 of the family's 1533-position model. The record is from RNAcentral.